ACCACACCCAGCUAAUUUUUGUAUUUUUAGUAGAGAUGGGGUUUCACCGUGUUGGCCAGGCUGGUCUCAAACUCCUGGCUUCAAGUGACCCACCUGCCUUGGCCUCCCAAAGUGCUGGGAUUACAGGCGUGAGCCACCGCACCCAGCCCCAUUGUCUUUUUUUUUAGAGACUGGUUCUCACUCUGUCACCUAGGCUGGAGUGCCGUGGUGUGAUCAAGGCUCACUGCAGCCUCAACCUCUUGGGCUCAAGCAGUCCUCCCACUUUAGCGUCCCAUGUUGCUGGGACCACAGGUGCAUGCCACCAAGCCCCACUAAUUAAAACAAAUUUUCUUUAUAGAGAAUAGGAUGUAGCUAUGUUGCCCAGGCUGGUCUUGAAUUCCUGGGCUCAAGUGAUCCUCCCACCUUGGCCUCCCAAAGUGCUGGGAUUACAGGUAUGAGCCACUGCACCUGGUCUCUGUCUUCUUUUUUUUAAGGCUCUUGUUAGAAUGCCGUGAACAGUUGUCUCCAACUAUUAUAUGUCAUUCCACAGGAUUGGUUUCCUGCUGGGAUUCCAUGGUCUCUGGGGUCCUCUGCAGCACCUUCCUGGCCUUUUGUCAUGUGGAUGCUGCACAGCUGACUUCACCUGGUCUUGUUGAUGGACAGUUUGUUUCAUGAUUUCUCUUAUGAAUAAAACCUUCACAAGCCAUCCUUCUCUAUGAGAGUGUUUGCUUGGCACGCAUUCCUGAGCACUGCCCCUGAGCAGACCGCCUAUGAUCUCUAAGCUUAGGUUCCGUGUUGCCAAAGCGCCUUCUGGUGGACUCAGCCCAGGAGGAGCCCAUGUGCCCCACGCUGGCCAUGGCUGUGGUCAUGGGCUGACUGCAUGUGUCUGACUGGGCCUUUGUCUGAGACUGCAGUGAUUUCGCUCCUCCUCUCAGAUCCGCAAGGAUGCUCUCCGGGCGCUCAACUUCGCGUACACGGUGAGCACACAGCGAUCUACCGUCUUUCCCCUGGAUGGUGUGGUGCGCAUGCUGCUGUUCAGAGACUGUGAAGAGGCCACCGACUUCCUCACCUGCCACGGCCUCACCGUUUCCGACGGCUGUGUGGAGCUGAACCGGUCUGCAUUCCUGGAACCAGAGGGAUUAUCCAAGACCAGGAAGUCGGUGUUUAUUACCAGGAAGCUGACGGUGUCAGUCGGGGAAAUUGUGAACGGAGGGCCAUUGCCCCCCGUCCCUCGUCACACCCCUGUGUGCAGCUUCAACUCCCAGAACAAGUACAUUGGGGAGAGCCUGGCCGCGGAGCUGCCCGUCAUCAGCACCCAGAGACCCGGCUCCGACACAGUGGGCGGAGGGAGAGGAGAGGAGUGUGGUGUAGAGCCGGAUGCACCCCUGCCCAGUCUCCCACAGUCUCUACCAGCCCCUGCGCCCUCACCAGUGCCUCUGCCUCCUGUCCUGGCACUGACCCCGUCUGUGGCGCCCAGCCUCUUCCAGCUGUCUGUGCAGCCUGAACCACCGCCUCCAGAGCCCGUGCCCAUGUACUCUGACGAGGACCUGGCGCAGGUGGUGGACGAGCUCAUCCAGGAGGCCCUGCAGAGGGACUGUGAGGAAGUUGGCUCUGCGGGUGCUGCCUACGCAGCUGCCGCCCUGGGUGUUUCUAAUGCUGCUAUGGAGGAUUUGUUAACAGCUGCAACCACGGGCAUUUUGAGGCACAUUGCAGCUGAAGAAGUGUCUAAGGAAAGAGAGCGAAGGGAGCAGGAGAGGCAGCGGGCUGAAGAGGAAAGGUUGAAACAAGAGAGAGAGCUGGUGUUAAGUGAGCUGAGCCAGGGCCUGGCUGUGGAGCUGAUGGAACGCGUGAUGAUGGAGUUUGUGAGAGAAACCUGCUCCCAGGAGUUGAAGAAUGCAGUAGAGACAGACCAGAGGGUCCGUGUGGCCCGUUGCUGUGAGGAUGUCUGUGCCCACUUAGUGGACUUGUUUCUCGUGGAGGAAAUCUUCCAGACUGCAAAGGAGACCCUCCAGGAGCUUCAGUGCUUCUGCAAGUAUCUACAGCGGUGGAGGGAAGCUGUCACAGCCCGCAAGAAACUGAGGCGCCAAAUGCGGGCUUUCCCUGCUGCGCCCUGCUGCGUGGACGUGAGCGACCGGCUGAGGGCGCUGGCGCCCAGCGCAGAGUGCCCCAUUGCUGAAGAGAACCUGGCCAGGGGCCUCCUGGACCUGGGCCAUGCAGGGAGAUUGGGCAUCUCCUGCACCAGGUUAAGGCGGCUCAGAAACAAGACGGCUCACCAGAUGAAGGUUCAGCACUUCUACCAGCAGCUGCUGAGUGAUGUGGCAUGGGCAUCUCUGGACCUGCCAUCCCUCGUGGCUGAGCACCUCCCUGGGAGGCAGGAGCAUGUGUUUUGGAAGCUGGUGCUGGUGUUGCCGGAUGGAGAGGAGCAGUCCCCAGAGAGUUGUGGCAGAAUUCUAGCAAAUUGGUUAAAAGUCAAGUUCAUGGGAGAUGAAGGCUCAGUGGAUGACACAUCCAGCGAUGCUGGUGGGAUUCAGACGCUUUCGCUUUUCAACUCACUUAGCAGCAAAGGGGAUCAGAUGAUUUCUGUUAACGUGUGUAUAAAGGUGGCCCAUGGCGCCCUCAGUGAUGGUGCCAUUGAUGCUGUGGAGACACAGAAGGACCUCCUGGGAGCCAGUGGACUCAUGCUGCUGCUUCCCCCCAAAAUGAAGAGUGAGGAUGUGGCAGAGGAGGACGUGUACUGGCUGUCGGCCUUGCUGCAGCUCAAGCAGCUCCUGCAGGCUAAGCCCUUCCAGCCUGCGCUUCCUCUGGUGGUUCUUGUGCCUAGCCCAGGAGGGGACGCCGUUGAGAAGGAAGUAGAAGAUGGUUUGUGAAGGAAGUCUCGUUUAUGAAGCAGCAUUGUUUAAUAAUAAAUGGGUGGAGGCCCUGGGUCUGAGGAUGGUCCAGUAGUGUUGGGGUCAGGAAUCACUGAGACAGCAACCCCUGUGGUGACUGUCCACUGCAGGACUGGGUGGGGUCAGCACAGUGAGAUGUGUUAGCAGGUGUGCUGACAGCAGAAUGCAAGUGACCUUCAUCUAUGUCUCUCUUAAAGGUCUGAUGCUACAGGACUUGGUUUCAGCUAAGCUGAUUUCAGAUUACACUGUUACCGAGAUCCCUGAUACCAUUAAUGAUCUACAAGGUUCAACUAAGGUCUUGCAAGCAGUGCAGUGGCUGGUUUCCCACUGCCCCCAUUCCCUUGACCUCUGCUGCCAGACUCUCAUUCAGUACGUCGAAGACGGGAUUGGCCAUGAGUUUAGUGGCCGCUUUUUCCAUGACAGAAGAGAGAGGCGUCUGGGCGGUCUUGCUUCUCAGGAGCCUGGUGCCAUCAUUGAGCUGUUUAACAGUGUGCUGCAGUUCCUGGCUUCUGUGGUGUCCUCUGAACAGCUGUGUGACCUGUCCUGGCCUGUCACUGAGUUUGCUGAGGCAGGGGGCAGCCGGCUGCUUCCUCACCUGCACUGGAAUGCACCAGAGCACCUGGCCUGGCUGAAGCAGGCUGUGCUCGGGUUCCAGCUUCCGCAAAUGGACCUUCCACCCCUGGGGGCCCCCUGGCUCCCCGUGUGCUCCAUGGUUGUCCAGUACGCCUCCCAGAUCCCCAGCUCACGCCAGACACAGCCUGUCCUCCAGUCCCAGGUGGAGAACCUGCUCCACAGAACCUACUGUAGGUGGAAGAGCAAGAGCCCCUCCCCAGUCCAUGGGGCAGGCCCCUCCGUCAUGGAGAUCCCAUGGGAUGAUCUCAUCGCCUUGUGUAUCAACCACAAGCUGAGAGACUGGACGCCCCCCCGGCUUCCUGUUACAUCAGAGGCGCUGAGUGAAGAUGGUCAGAUAUGUGUGUAUUUCUUUAAAAACGAUUUGAAAAAAUAUGAUGUUCCUUUGUCGUGGGAACAAGCCAGGUUGCAGACGCAGAAGGAGCUACAGCUGAGAGAGGGACGUUUGGGAAUAAAGCCUUUUCAUCCUUCUGCAAACAAUUUUCCCAUACCAUUGCUUCACAUGCACCGUAACUGGAAGAGGAGCACAGAGUGUGCUCAAGAGGGGAGGAUUCCCAGCACAGAGGAUCUGAUGCGAGGAGCUUCUGCUGAGGAGCUCUUGGCGCAGUGUUUGUCGAGCAGUCUGCUGCUGGAGAAAGAGGAGAACAAGAGGUUUGAAGAUCAGCUUCAGCAAUGGUUGUCUGAAGACUCAGGAGCAUUUACGGAUUUAACUUCCCUUCCCCUCUAUCUUCCUCAGACUCUAGUGUCUCUUUCUCACACUAUUGAACCUGUGAUGAAAACAUCUGUAACUACUAGCCCACAGAGUGACAUCAUGAGGGAGCAACUGCAGCUGUCAGAGGCGACAGGAACGUGUCUAGGCGAACGACUAAAGCACCUGGAAAGGCUGAUCCGGAGUUCAAGGGAAGAGGAAGUUGCCUCUGAGCUCCAUCUCUCUGCGCUGCUAGACAUGGUGGACAUUUGAGCAGCCUGACCUGUGGGGAGGGGGUCUCUCCCGAAGAGUUUCUGUUUUUACUCAAAAUAAUGUUAUUCUCAGAUGCUUGAUGCACUGUUGGAAAUGUGAUUAAUUUAAUCAUGCAGAUAAGCCAUUUAAAUGUCA
RNAcentral lists this small RNA (4593 nucleotides) under Pan troglodytes (chimpanzee). RNAcentral's name for it is "retained intron". Lineage: Eukaryota; Metazoa; Chordata; Mammalia; Primates; Hominidae. The record is from RNAcentral.